Molecule: ribosomal RNA, 252 nt
Filed under: uncultured bacterium
Lineage: Bacteria
Description: partial 16S ribosomal RNA
Rfam family: Bacterial small subunit ribosomal RNA
Source: RNAcentral
UACGUAGGGUGCGAGCGUUAAUCGGAAUUACUGGGCGUAAAGCGUGCGCAGGCGGUGAUGUAAGACAGUUGUGAAAUCCCCGGGCUCAACCUGGGAAUUGCAUCUGUGACUGCAUCGCUAGAGUACGGUAGAGGGGGAUGGAAUUCCGCGUGUAGCAGUGAAAUGCGUAGAUAUGCGGAGGAACACCGAUGGCGAAGGCAAUCCCCUGGACCUGUACUGACGCUCAUGCACGAAAGCGUGGGAGCAAACAGG